Molecule: long non-coding RNA, 722 nt
Filed under: Eptatretus burgeri (inshore hagfish)
Lineage: Eukaryota; Metazoa; Chordata; Myxini; Myxiniformes; Myxinidae
Description: lncRNA (ENSEBUG00000017112.1)
Source: RNAcentral
GGGGGUAUAUAUAUAUAUAUAUAUAUAUAUAUGUCAUAUUGCCCCUGCCUCACACAUUGCUCAGGUUGACGUCAUGGAAACCAAGCCCUUCUUGAUCACUGGAAUCUCCUGCGAUGAAGCUGGGUCAAUGGGCUUAUCACUUUGCCAUCACAAAUAGUGAAAAUAAAAACUUGGUUGAGGAACAGAAGGAACCCUUGAACAAGAUUCAGGGAGGAUGGUGUACCACUUGAUUAUUGCUGGCAUUUUACUGCAGCUGCUGCAGGGAGGUGGAAGAAAGGCCAAUGCACUUGCAGCAAUCACAGGUCACAAGAAAUCAAGAUUUCAAUCAAAUGAAGCAGCAACUUACCUGCAAAGCAUAUCUUGGAAAAUCAUCAUUUGGAGAUGGAACGACAAAAUGCAGAGUGCAAUCAAAAGAAUUGCAAACAAAGAGAUGCAAAAAUGGUGUUUGAUGGCAAAAAUGCAGAAAAUACAGUGAGAGAAUUUCGGGACACAAUUCAUGAGCAAAAGGAAUUAAAUAAUCGUUAUUCCAUGUCGCCAACACCCGUGAUUGAAAUUGUGGUUGGCAUAACUGCCUUCAUAGUCACAAUAAUUACAUGUUCUUGCUGUUCAAACUGCUGCAAAACAACAAACACUCAGAGGUAAGAAUCCAAAAGUUGCAAUAAAAACUCUUGAAUUGUUUUAAAUUUUCCAUUUUACUCCCACUGGCUUAUUUGAUAUGUACA